CGGCGGACGGGUGAGUAGCGCGUGGGUAACCUACCCUGUACACACGGAUAACAUACCGAAAGGUAUGCUAAUACGGGAUAAUAUAUUUGAGAGGCAUCUCUUAAAUAUCAAAGGUGAGCCAGUACAGGAUGGACCCGCGUCUGAUUAGCUAGUUGGUAAGGUAACGGCUUACCAAGGCGACGAUCAGUAGCCGACCUGAGAGGGUGAUUGGCCACAUUGGAACUGAGACACGGUCCAA
Molecule: ribosomal RNA, 238 nt
Filed under: uncultured bacterium
Lineage: Bacteria
Description: partial 16S ribosomal RNA
Rfam family: Bacterial small subunit ribosomal RNA
Source: RNAcentral